Molecule: long non-coding RNA, 2780 nt
Filed under: Musa acuminata (dwarf banana)
Lineage: Eukaryota; Viridiplantae; Streptophyta; Magnoliopsida; Zingiberales; Musaceae
Description: long non-coding RNA (MACU_LNC003348)
Source: RNAcentral
UGAGCGACUCUUUUCCCUACAUCUCCAUGCCCGUUUUCCCUCAAACGGUCGCGCGUGUGCUGACUGCCCUCAACGCAGCCCCGCUAGGUCCCCCACGUUUGCAUGUCAAGUGUUUCUAUGAGUGCUUGUCCCGCUCUGAUACCAUAUGACACGGACUUAGCUGGUUUUGCCUAAGUCGUGCGGCACCCUUGCGUGUCCGUCCGCAAAGGUCAGCCUCCCCGAAGACUCUCAUUGUCCCUUAGGACCAACAAAAGAGAGAACAGGCAAAAGAGAAUGCCUCAAUCGGGAUCCACAAGCAAACAUGUCCGAAAAACACUUCAUAGACAAUGCAAAUUACAAACAGACUUUACAAGCUCUGAACAGUGGCACAACAAAGGGUAAAAUGGUCCAUUACAGACCGAAAAGCUCUCGCACGUGUCCACAUGACACAACCUUUAUUUACAAGCCUAAAGAGACCACCACCCAACUAAAAUGGGACUUAUAAGCCUUCGGCCGCCCCUUUACAUUCUGUACAGGGCAUGAACAUGCCAAAAGACACGGACACACAUAAGCAUUACAUCCAACAUCUUGUUGAGAAGUUUGUCUGUGACAUCCUGGUGACAUCUCCAUUGCAUUCUGAUCCUUGUGGAAUAAACUCGAAUUGUGAACCCUCCAUGUGUGUGGCCUCUGCCAAUACAUCACAGGGACUCCUCCACCUUCGAUUUUGUUUGCUCCUUUGGCAAUCGACCUUCAUCCACCCACUCUUGGGUCACACCUAGAUGAAGCACCGCUCUAGGACAGUCCGUCGCCUAGUAGCUCCCGAAGUCCACCGACUUCACUGUAAUUUGUGCACCAUUGUCUAGAUCCUGGGCCUCUGCCCCUACCAGCACAAUCUCCGCUGCGCACUGCCUCCUUCAUAGCAACUCGAAUGGCAACACUGUGGCAUAUUCUUCAAGAGUACCCACCUCUGCGUCCUCUUGCCCCGUGCUAAGGCCCUUCUGAACCCAACUUCGCCUCCGCAAAUUGAGUCGCCUUAGUUCCUCCUUCAAAUGCUUUUCCGAGUUAAGGUGCAUGUGCCGCGAAGCUCCCUUCGUCUUUGGCACCAUGCAUGAUGAGUCCGUUCCGUCAGAAUGAAGGACCCAUGGAACAACAUGAUCCUACUCUUGCCUCUGCAAGAGUUCAUGUCCUUGACCUCUGUAUAAGGAAAGCACUAUGCCUCUGCUCCACGUUCCAACUUCUAUGCUGACUCCCUUCAUGCGGCUUGAGUACUUCGCCAAGUUACACCCAAGUUGCUCCGCUCCUCGUUUUCACAUUGAGUUGAUGGUGGCUCUCGCGCCCACCAUUCCACGGGUCAGCCCCCCUUUGAGUCCGAUCUCCACAUCGACUCCAAGCGUGCCUUCAUUUAAGUUGCUUUGGGUCGCUCCCCCACUUGAUCUCGCAAUGCAUCCACCAAUGCAUUCUCUCAAGCGAGAUCAUGCAACGACUCCUCGCCGCUUGCUCAGUCCAUCGAGCUUCGUGGAGUUGUUGUUUGUUGAGGUACUCCUCCUUAACAUGUGAGAUCCGUCUCACAUGAUUCUCCCUCUAGAGAGCCGGGACUUAUCCCUCCUGGAUAACUACCCCGUUGGAGCAACAUCUCUCUUCGUUUCGGAGACCACCAUCCCCUUGGACUACUCCGAUUUGCUGAAUAAACUGUGCAUUGUUCUGCCUCCUGCAAACGCACUUGCUAGAUUGCGACUCCACGUCAAUACAGCCCCCGUUGCACCCCUCAAGGCCUAGCAACAUGCUGAACUCGUUGCACACUUUAGCCUCCUACGGACGUAUCCUUCACAUGCCGAAGAGAGAGUUUCAAUGCUCCAUGGCGUCGAGUUUCGGUCGUCGUGGGAUGGCCACGAACAUUCCAUCGUCCGCAUACAAGCCCAUGCAUGAGUACCGAAUUCUUUGAGUUAGCAAUUCCCCUCACCUCUGUGAGCUUUACACAACUCUUUCGAUCGUUGAGCAACUCAUUCCACCUUGCAUUGUCUCAUUCUUGCCAAGCGCCUCGCUUGCCUAGAGCACCAUCAAGUAUUGUUGUCAACGUUGAGCCGUAGCUCAAACUCAGUCAUCCCAACCUUUGUGCGCUCCACAUUCGUCCAAGCUUGUCUGUUCUCGUGGUGCCUCUUGCGCGAAGGGUUGGCCAUUCCUCUGAAUGCCAAUCUCAGAUGCCCGAUCCUUUGAGCGACUCCUUCUCCCUACAUCUCCAUGCCCGUUUUCCCCCAAACGGUCGCGCAUGUGCUGACUGCCCUCAACGCAGUCCCACUAGGUCCCCCACGUUUGCAUGCUAAGUGUUUCUAUGAGUGCUUGUCCCGCUCUGAUACCAUAUGACACGGACUUAGCUGGUUUUGCCUAAGUCGUGCGGCACCCUUGCGUGUUCGUCCGUAAAGGUCAGCCUCCCCGAAGCCUCCCAUUGUCCCUUAGGACCACCAAAAGAGAGAACGGGUUAGAGAGAACGCCUCAAUCGGGAUCCACAAGCAAACAUCUAUGAAAAACACUUCAUAGACAAUGUAAAUUACAAACAGACUUUACAAGCUCUGAACAGUGGCACAACAAAGGGUAAAAUGAUCCAUUACAGACCGAAAAGCUCUCGCACGUGUCCACAUGACACAACCUUUAUUUACAAGCCUAAAGAGGCCACCAACCCAACUAAAGUGAGACUAUUAAGCCUUCGGCCGCCCCUCUACAUUCUGUACAGGGCAUGAACAUGCCAAAAGACACGGACAUACAUAAGCAUUACAUCAAACACCUUGUUUAGAAGUUUGUUCGUG